RNAcentral lists this unclassified non-coding RNA (302 nucleotides) under Hevea brasiliensis (rubber tree). The record is from RNAcentral. Lineage: Eukaryota; Viridiplantae; Streptophyta; Magnoliopsida; Malpighiales; Euphorbiaceae.
AUAAUUGAUUUCCAGAUUGCACAGGGCACCCAGUGGAUGUACUUAAUCAAGUCACUUGCAGAUCGGCCAGGUGGCCCCCCGUCAAUUCGCAUAACUGGUGUUGAUGAUCCCCAGUCAGCUCAUGCUCGUGGUGGUGGACUUCCUAUUGUAGGGCACAAGCUAUCAUGUUUUGCUGAGUCAUGCAAUGUGCCAUUUGAGUUCUAUGACGCCGCCAUGUCUGGUUGUGAGGUUCAACUUGAACAUCUUGGGUUGCAGCCUGGAGAAGCUGUGGUUGUGAAUUUUCCAUAUGUAUUGCACCACAU